This 198-nucleotide ribosomal RNA is filed under the name uncultured Pseudomonadota bacterium. RNAcentral describes it as "uncultured proteobacterium partial 16S ribosomal RNA". It matches the Rfam family "Bacterial small subunit ribosomal RNA", at positions 397 to 609 of the family's 1533-position model. The record is from RNAcentral. Lineage: Bacteria; Pseudomonadati; Pseudomonadota.
CCGCGUGAGUGAUGAAGGCUUUCGGGUUGUAAAGCUCUGUUCUUGGGGAAGAAAAAAAUGACGGUACCCAAGGAGAAAGGACCGGCUAACUUCGUGCCAGCAGCCGCGGUAAUACGAGGGGUCCAAGCGUUGUUCGGAAUCAUUGGGCGUAAAGCGGGUGUAGGCGGCCGUGCAAGUCAGAAGUGAAAGCCCUGGGCU